GCACCUUAUCCAGUGCCACUUCAGACUAGGCCCUCCAACGUGUUGGUUAAUUGAAUUAUAGUUUCGGAUAAGAUGUGGUCCCUGCCUUUAAAAAGCUUUUAAUUUAAUUAUGGAAGCAGCUACAAACAUCAAUCCAUUAUUCCAAGACAACACAUUUAUCCAUUCAUUCAGCAAGUUUUUAUUUUAGAGAAGAGAGAAAGCAUGUCCAUGCAUACCUGAAUCAUGGGGCAGAAAGUGAAAUGUGGUGCAGAGGAAAUUCAGGCGAGGAGCCACAAAAACUGAGAGCAAAGUGACUUUGCUAAGAGGCUCUGGGAAAAAUCUCAAAGGGGAGGAGCAAAUGCCCAGACCUAGGAGACUGGGCAGAAUUUGGACACAAGGAAGUCAUUGUGGGCUGACAGUACAGGGUCCAACAGAGGCAAAGAGCUGGAAAUGCAGGGAAAGAAAGGGGAACAUCCUCCUCUUCCAGCGGAGGAAGCUGGGUGAAGAAAGGAGAAGCAUUGCGCUGGUGUGGGAAGCACGGGGCCGCUAAGGUUGAAGUGAGUGGAGAUGGGAGGCGGCGGGAGUCACUAGAGGCUAGGAAGAGAGGCUCACACUACAGAGGGCCUUGAGUGCCAGGCUAGGAAAUCCAUAGGGGAAGAAGCCAAGACUCAAGGAGUUAAGAACUUUUCCAAGGGUAGCUAUUAGCCAGGACUCAAACCUACAUACUUGAAUGAAUUUCUACAACCUGUUAUUGAAGACUAAGGAGUAAGAAUUCUGCCGGAAGACUGUGUUGCCGAACCAAUCAGUUUGUCUAAAACUCUUUCACUCCCCAUCCCCAACUCCCUGUUGGCCUAGGGGCAGUCUGAGAGGGGGCUUAGAAUAAAUCAGAAGAGGGGUCUCAUUCAGAUUGUUUUGCUGUGAUCACAUGUGAGUCAGAUUUUUCUUCUGUAACAAGAGGUAGUUGAAGAGGUAAAUCCCUAAGCUUUCUGCCAUUGUAGACAGGUGUUCUUCUCUGAUCCUCAGGGCCACAGUCGGAAAGGAAGUUGUCUGCACUGAGAACCGGGAGGGAUCCCUCCGUUGCUUCCAUGAGGGUGCGGGACUCAUGGCUCUGGGCCUCCAAGGCACCACGGCCUCUGGCUCCAUUCCACCCUCCCCGCGCUCUCCUCAAACCUCAGGCUUCCUUUUUCUGCCUGCUGCAGGGCUUCUCAGCCUGGGCUGGAUCCUGGACAGACAGGCCCAGGCAGGCUGUGCACUGUGACCUGGGGCCUUGCUGUGAACAAAGAGGACUUCAAGAGGAGAUGGCCUGGAGGAGUUCGCCUUUGUGGUCAUUUUGCUUCAGUCCGUGACAACCUGGCUUCCAUCAAACCAAUCAGCCCAUCACCCAAUACUAGCUGUUCCAAAUAUAAAUUGUUGUCUUUGUCACUUUGCGUAGUCACUCUCCUCUUGAAAUAUACACAU
This 1437-nucleotide long non-coding RNA is filed under the name Homo sapiens (human). RNAcentral describes it as "HSALNT0299168". Lineage: Eukaryota; Metazoa; Chordata; Mammalia; Primates; Hominidae. The record is from RNAcentral.